Molecule: long non-coding RNA, 691 nt
Filed under: Numida meleagris (helmeted guineafowl)
Lineage: Eukaryota; Metazoa; Chordata; Aves; Galliformes; Numididae
Description: lncRNA (ENSNMEG00000004027.1)
Source: RNAcentral
CUUAGGUUGGAGGGGACCUUAAAGAUCAUCGAGCUCCAAACCUCCUGCCAGAGGCAGGGUUGCCACCCAGCAGAUCAGGCUGUCCCGGAUUCCACCCAACCGGGCCUUGAAUGCCUCCAGAGAUUGGGCAUCCACAACGUCUCUGGGCAAUCAAGGCAAUCAGUAGCCUGAAAGCGCUGUAAACUGAUCCUGAUCGCUAUUAGGUGUUUAAUGGAAGGUGGCAAGCACCUGUAAGCACUAUGCUGAGUGCUGCUUGGUUCUGCCUUUUAGGAGAGGAAGGAAGUGCAUUCUUGUAAUUUGGGCUCUGGAUUCAGCUGAGAGGCAGGAGUACCAAUGUUUUCUUUUUAGAUCUGAGGAGAGCUACCUGAAGCAGUCCGUUCCAGUACCAUCUAAAGGGAAAGAUAGUACGUUGUUUCAACUGAGAACGGAAUUUACUUUGCUACCAGAAGUGCUUGGUUUCUAUGUCUGUGACAUGUGAACUCCUUAAGGCAAGGAACAGCUCUUUGUUUGAAAAAUAGAUCACAUUGUGACUAUGACUCUGAACAAACAAGGAUGUUGUUUUGCAAUAGCUGGGCCCCUUAACAGUUUACACAGAGAAUUUGUGUCUGGGACAGAGCAGAUGGAAGUGCUGGAGUUGAAUUUGUCUGAAAAGAACAAUUUUUUGGUAACCUUCUUUGUCCUUGAUCUCUGA